Molecule: ribosomal RNA, 328 nt
Filed under: uncultured eukaryote
Lineage: Eukaryota
Description: partial 18S ribosomal RNA
Rfam family: Eukaryotic small subunit ribosomal RNA
Source: RNAcentral
CCCUUAGAUGUCCUGGGCCGCACGCGCGCUACACUGAUGCAUGCAACGAGUUUAUAACCUUGGCCUGAAAGGUCUGGGUAAUCUUUUGAACGUGCAUCGUGAUAGGGAUAGAUUAUUGCAAUUGUUAAUCUUGAACGAGGAAUUCCUAGUAAACGCGAGUCAUCAGCUCGCAUUGAUUACGUCCCUGCCCUUUGUACACACCGCCCGUCGCACCUACCGAUUGAAUGGUUCGGUGAAGAUCUCGGACUUCGAUAUUUCUUCUUUAUUGAGUUUAUAUUGUGGGAAGUUAUCUAAACCUCAUCAUUUAGAGGAAGGUGAAGUCGUAACA